GAUGAACGCUGGCGGCGUGCCUAAUACAUGCAAGUCGAGCGAACAGACGAGGAGCUUGCUCCUCUGACGUUAGCGGCGGACGGGUGAGUAACACGUGGAUAACCUACCUAUAAGACUGGGAUAACUUCGGGAAACCGGAGCUAAUACCGGAUAAUAUAUUGAACCGCAUGGUUCAAUAGUGAAAGACGGUUUUGCUGUCACUUAUAGAUGGAUCCGCGCCGCAUUAGCUAGUUGGUAAGGUAACGGCUUACCAAGGCAACGAUGCGUAGCCGACAUGAGAGGGGGAUCGGCCACACUGGAACUGAGACACGGAACAGACACCUACGGGAGGAAGCAGUAGGGAAUCUUCCGCAAUGGGCGAAAGCAUGACGGAGCAACGCCGCGUGAGUGAUGAAGGUGUGAGGAUCGUAAAACUCUGUUAUUAGGGAAGAACAAAUGUGUAAGUAACUAUGCACGGAUUGACGGUAACUAAUCAGAAAGCAACGGCUAACUACGUG
RNAcentral lists this ribosomal RNA (497 nucleotides) under uncultured bacterium. RNAcentral's name for it is "partial 16S ribosomal RNA". It matches the Rfam family "Bacterial small subunit ribosomal RNA", at positions 28 to 507 of the family's 1533-position model. The record is from RNAcentral.